RNAcentral lists this ribosomal RNA (253 nucleotides) under uncultured bacterium. RNAcentral describes it as "partial 16S ribosomal RNA". It matches the Rfam family "Bacterial small subunit ribosomal RNA", at positions 524 to 776 of the family's 1533-position model. The record is from RNAcentral.
UACGUAGGUGACAAGCGUUGUCCGGAUUUACUGGGCGUAAAGAGCGCGCAGGCGGUCGUUCAAGUCGAGUGUGAAAGCCCCCGGCUCAACUGGGGAGGGUCACGCGAUACUGCUCGACUUGAAGGCAGGAGAGGGAAGCGGAAUUCCUGGUGUAGCGGUGAAAUGCGCAGAUAUCAGGAAGAACACCCGUGGCGAAAGCGGCUCUCUGGAACGGUACUGACGCUGAGACGCGAAAGCGUGGGGAGCGAACAGG